CCCCGGGCUGCGUGAGGCUUGUUUGCUCCCUUUCUUUUCAUACACCGCGAAACCACCGCCUCCUUUCCCACCACAUGUGCAAUUAUUUUUGCUGCGCAGCACGGGGUAUCGGUGCAAACCCUUCUCAUUACACCCGCGUGCGUGCACGCCCGCCCUCCUCGCUUCCCCAAAACGUUCCCGCUGGGCCCAUUUCGGGAAGCUGCGUGUAUUACGUGGAAGAAGCAAUAUGAGGUUUCCAGAAACCUGUACGCUCUUCCAAGUACCCCUUUUGCACCCUGCUUUUCCUGGUAAAGCUGGUGAAGGGGUUUCUCUGUGCUCAGAUCCGAUGUUCUUUAAGUGUUUUGUGCUUUUGUUUGUCCUUGGCAGCUCCAUUCUGCAGGAUGUGCGGAUUUUCCCGGAAAACAUCCAACAAGCCAGAAUCGAGGUGGGAGUCCGGACGAACGCAGAAGGUUGGACGUGCAGAUGCUUGGAUCUCCAAACGGCGAGGCUGGAAAGGAGGUCUGGGGAACGGGCCUUGUUAAAAGGAGCAGCUAUUAGUGCUUGUUCUGGGGCGGGGGAGGAAGAGGAGAAACAUUGAGGGGAAAAACGGAUUUCAGGCCCAAAAGGGAAAUCCGGUGUUGGGAAGGUUACUGGAUACUGCUUUUGUGUUUACCGGCGAGCGAGCAGCUCGGCACGGCGGCUCUAGAGACAAAAUGGCAUCGCUGUGCUGGGGGAUUGAGCAAGAGGCGAAUGUAAAUCCUUGAGUUUCCAGGGCACAGCUCAUGGUUAUGAAACAGGAUGGGCAGCAAGGGAGCUCGCGCUAAUGCGAUUCAGAUGAUUCAAACGCAGCCUCCAAGUUCAGUCGUCGAACUGAACAUUGCAAACAGCCCAGGAGGACGCGGUGCCUCUUUCUGGAAGGUGUUCAAGGAUCUUUACUCAUCCGCAGCAGAAAUGGCUUUGUUAUUGCUUCUCCUCCUUCUUCCUCUUUUGGAAUAUUUCACCAUCUGCCAAGGCUGGAGGAAAAAUCUCCUGAUCACCAGGCGGGGGAGGAAAGCCGCGCGGUCCCACCAGUGAUGUGCAAACUAGGCACGUGUUUCUCUGGCUCAGGUGCAGGUUUGUUUAACACAGAACAGGCCAGUUGGUGCCAGCGAGGAGCGUGUUCUGCACGUCUCCGGGAUGACGGGGUUGUGCUCUCUGCACAGGUUACGGGCGUCUGUCUCUCCUUCCUCCGUGCCUCCUCCCACCUCUUACCCCAAACCACGGACUUUGCUGUCUUGUGAUGUUGAGGAAAGCCCUGGUGAGGUACAAAUGCGAUAAUCAACCUCAAUCAGCGUGUAAUGCUCUGCAAUAAUUACAACGCGUUCCCGGGUUGCAGCACUGCCAUUUCGGUUAGCAAAGCAGGCGAGCGCAGGGCUCAGCGCGGCUCGUGGCAAAUGUCCCUGCCGUGGCAGCACACGGGACCAAACGCAGACCGCUUUCCUCUGUUGCACGGGACCUGAUUUUUAUCUUAUUCCAAGAAAAGCAGAGCUAUUCCUAGGGAGACCUGGAGCAGGGCUGAAGCAGAGUAUUAGUCUGUUUGGACUUGCAGGGAGAAGUUGGCAGUCAGCAGCAAUUGCUCUUCAGGCAGAAGUCUGACUAAUCUCAGCGUUGCAACACUUUCCUGUGCCGGGGAAUUCGGAGCGGAGAUGCCUGCGGAUAGGCGCACGCACACGCGGCCCUGCAGCUCGUGCAUCGACUGCCUCUUCCAAGCGAGCAGGAACGCCCUGUGCCAGCCUUGCUCUGCCGAUCGUUUAUCAACGCUUUUAACGUGCGUGGGUGUCGUUGGGAACCGUCUUCGGCUGCUCUGCGCUUGCAGACCCCCCCACGGCUGCUGCGGUGCAGCCUGCGAAGGGAAAGCUCAUUGCACCUCGCUUUUCUGGUGUUGGCCCGACGCUUCUUUAAAUAUUCCAGCGGUCACUGUGGCAUGAAGCACACGUAUUGUAUGCAGAACGCCGUCUCCAAGAGAGUGCUAAACUUGUCACGGCUGUUUACUUACGCUUUUGCACUGUUUGUGUAGUCAGAAGUCUUGAUCUCAUAUUUAUCUCCUCUUAAAACAGCUACAGUUUGUAGUUUAAACACAUUAAUCAUUUCCAAGCCUUUAAAGGGCUUUUAAGUGGAGACACUGGUUUUGUUUGCCUUUUAAUUUUUAUUUAAAGUCUCCCUUCCGAAUCAGAAGGCAAGUGCUUUAAAGGACAUUGAAGGAGCAUACGGUCAAAUAAGCUGCAAGUAGGCAAGUGCACGCACAAGCUAGGAAACGCCGCGCAGCUCGCGCUUUGGAGCAGUACCGCUGCGCGGGAGGGCUGCGUGCAAGGACCGGGCGCCCCGCGGUCCUCGUGCGCAGCUGGAGCGGCAGCGGGGUCCUUGCAAAGGCCGCUGGGCUGGGGCCAGUUUGCAUCUCCCGAGAGCUGGUGCUGCGGGGAUGCGGGUGGGAGCGGGGAGCGAUCCGUGCCCUGGCGUUGCAGCCGGCGUGGGGUCGCGGUGGCCAGCGGGGAGCUAACGCGUUCGGUGGUUGACUUGGCUGAGCUGGCCUAGGGCCAGCACGGAGGAUCUGGUGGUUCCCAGGUCUUGCAGGUGGAUCUCGCAGUGUUUCAGCUCAAGGUUGGCCAUGAAAAGUGCUGGAAAGCACGAGAAAUCUGCGAUAACCACUGUUGGGGACCCGCGUUGCCUCGUGGGCUGCAGCUCCUGCUGUGAUGCCCUUGCAUCAGAGCGGUCAGUGUUUAUUUUACAGUAGGGAAAUUCUGCCAAAGCUGAGGAACCUCGGGCAGCCCCCGUUUCGCACAGAAAUAACAACCGCUGCAUGGGACUAAUUGCUCCAGGGCAUCUCUCAUUAACGCGGGGCUGCGACCUCAAGUCAUCGAUGUCCUGCUAAAUUGCACAAAAUAAGGCUGGCGGUUUCUCCUAAGCACCUUGUGGCACGGGAAUUAGUGUGGAAGCAGCAGAUUUGGGCAGACCGCCUUGCUCUGCGGCGGGCAGGCAGCCCUCAUCCUCCCGUCCAUCCCUGCCCGGUGCAAGCAGCCCGGCAGCACCGUGGAGGGUCGGAAGCCGCUUUUUCCCCAGCCCUUGGUGGCCCCGGGCGGCCCAAGCCUUGGUGCACACAAGCUCUGUUGUCCUUGCGGUCGGGCCAAGCCGGGAGUUAUGGGCUGACGGUGGGACAGCGCCUGGGAGGGUGGUUUUGGCACGGCCUCCGUUAGGUCUCCGUCCUGGGUAAUUGCAGGAAUUUGGUCUCGGGGUUGUUAAUCCAGCACCUUGCGCAAGCAAAAUCCACAAAACCGGGGAGAAUGGGCUGCUUGUCCUGCAGCCGGCGGGUGCAGCGGGCCGGCGCUUAUCCAGGCAGCGCGUUAACACCUUCCCUUGCACUGCGUGUCCCCUGCCCCGCACGGCGCUCGGCUGUUAGGGCAGCGCUCGUAAAUAAGGACACGUUUUGCAAAGCUCCCUCAAUGCAGCCGAGGUGUGAGAUGCUCCUGUCUCAGCUGGGUGUUGAUGUUUCUCCCGCGGCUUUGGGGAGCGGGAUGCUCCUGCAGCUCCUUGCAGGCUUGCCUGUCCCCAAGAAAAGGCGUCGAAAGGUGGCUUUGCUGGAGCUUGUCUCGGUGCCACACCGUGUUACUGCUGUUAUCCUUGGAGUCCCGUCUAGGUGCUGCAAAUGAAUCCAGAUGUGCAAACACUGAGCCCAUCUGGAUCCGCCAAAAAGCCUGGGUAAAGCAAAGCGUCCCUGUAAAAGGAUCUGCUUUAGCAGGGCUGGGCUCUGUCUUCGCAUAACUUUGGAAACCUGGAUGCGUUUUUCCUCCCGCCCAUUGAGACGGAGGAGGAGGAGGAUUCCUCCCCAGCCGCGGCUCGUGUUUGCGUGCCACCGUGCCGGGGCUGGCGCGGGGGCCGGGGCGGCUUGCCAGGUGACACCGGGUGAACAGAGACUUGUCCCACUUUGGACGUGAAAAAAGUAAUGUUGGGGCUGGAGAGCCUGGAGGGCUCCCGGCUUCAGAGCAAUGAUGUGGUUUGCUGUCCGUGGCUGCCUGCAGCUCGGCUGAUCUGCACGACAGCCCUUGGAGAGAGGUGCUCGUCUCUGAGAUUGGGCUUUUGCAUUGCAGAGGGGCUUAACACAUCUCGCUGGCACCGUGUUGCUUCUGAUGGGAGGCAGCUUUUCGAAUAACUCUUUGCGAGAGCCCAUGUGCACGAGCACCCCAAGCAGGCAGCUUGCCUGCUGCGGUCCCCGCGCUGCAGCUGGAGGGAAUCAGGACAGCUUUGCUGAAUUCCUUCUUUUUUUUGGCGAGGGGAGGGGGAGCUCCAUCAAUUUACAGCUGGCAACUUGGGCUUGCACAGCCUGUCUUUCCUAGCAGCCAAUGCAAAGUGUCAUGCGAAGGCCUGACCGCAGUUAAGACAUCCCAAAAGAAGCAAAACAAAACGAAAAAAUCCAUGUUUCUUAUGCAGGACCUGGAAGUCCUCCAGCAAUAGUAGAGAGUUGGCCUCCAACUGCCUAAUACCAGCCCACAAGGCAGAUUAGCGGGUGGGUUGGGGAGCGCGGUGGAAACGAGUGUGCCGUGAACCGGCCGUGCCCGCUGCAGCUGUGCCGCCGGGGGGGCCCCGACCUGGCGCUCCGGCAGAUCAUGUGGAUUCGACGUGCUCCCUCGAGGGCUGUGGGUUCGCAAACCGGCGAAUAAAUUACAGUGAGGCUUCAACAACCCCGCGCUCACAUCUGCCGCAGGCAGCGCUGCUCCAGCACUUCUUGUUUUGUAAAAACAAAACCAGACCCGCUUGCCUCAAUGCUCUGAAAUUUCCAAGGAGACCAAGAUCCCGCUGAACCGAGGGCAGACCCCCGCGGGAGGUGCGGUCCGGCGCUUGGCACGGCUCCCCGCCUCAGACAGGCACGAACCCACGGGUUUUAUUUCUGCGUUUAAAAAAACAAGAAGGACUGAUCACCUGGUGAUGUUUUUGUGACAGCUUUGCUGGGAUGUCGGUGCUCCGCAGGCAGCAUGCCCCGAACUUGUACUUUAGUGUGUGGCCACCGUUUCUCCGGCCCAGGAGUAAAUGCGGCAGCGCUGAUGUGUCCGAGAUCGUGGCUCUGGAAAGCAUCGUCCUGUGGCCCCUCUCCGUUUUGGUGGCAGGAAUAAAGCCACAUGUGCAGCGGUGUGACACCGCUUUGGCACUAGUCACUUGGCUAGCGAGGUGUUAUUGAAGUAUUCUGAAAAUCGAUGCUAUCCUCUUUCAACCCUUAGGACAUCUUUUGUGAUACAUCUCUUGCUGAUGCAAGGGCCAAAAGAUGUUCUCCAGUCUGCAAUACUCUGUGCAAAGCAAAGAGGUCCUUUGGGGCACUGAAAGAUCUCGGGGAUUAUCACGUUGACUUCGCUUUUGGGAGGUCUGUGACCUGCAGCCCAAAGGAGUGACUUUUGCACUUUAGCAUCUUAUAUCUCGGAGUUAACAAAACAAGCACAACGUUACCGCAAACACCUCUCUUCUCUCCCAUUGCUCUCCCUGCAACUUCUAUAGUGCUAUAAAUGGCUUUAAGAACUGCCUUACCAUAAGCAGCUUUUCCUCCCAAGUGUUUACAGUCUCCUAAAGUUUUGACCAGCAAUGUUAUCGAGGUAAUGGUGUAAGAAAAGACAAGAAAUGACUUAGGAGGGAUUAAAUCUGCAGAUGUUGGAGCAUCCCAGGUGUGCAAUGCUGAGGAUUUGGUGGGGAUGAACACCCAGGCACUGGGGCUAGGGGAACACGUCCUGCGGAUGGAAGGGCUCCGGGGGGGCUAGGGACGCGCCUCCCGCCCCGUCGGCGCCCGCCGGAGCAGGCAAAGCUCUCCUGCGCUUGCAGGGUCAGCACCGAGGUGAAGCACCGGACCAGCGUUUAGGGCGUUGUGCAGCGUUGCUGGAAAGAGGUAAGAGGAGGGCCUGGGAGUCUGUAGCAAAGGAUGUUCUUGUUUUUUCCCCAGUGAAGGCUAAAUCUGUAGAACUCAUAGAUUUAAUUUUGCCCUAUUUUUUUUUUAAUAUCAAUGGAUAGGGCCAGCUGUAAAUUCUAUUUUGAGGACAAAUGUCGUGCAACACCAAUGAGGGGCGGCUGGCUCUCCCUGCCCUCGGAUGUCUGAGCUGGGGGUGAAGGGCAAAACCCCCAUAGCUAACCCGCCCUCCGACCGGAUUUCCAGAUGUUCUGCAAAACGCAGGAUUUCUCCUUUCGUAGGUACUUCUUGGGGACCCCACACACAGGAGAUGCUGCGUGGGCGGAGAGAGCAUCAGGGAGCUUCCCGGGGAGCUGGGAGCACCUCCCGCCUGCUCCGAGCGAGGAAGAGGAGCUCCCUCCUCCCUCUGCGCUCCAUCCUCCGUCCUCGGCACGUUUUUCUCUCCCUUUGAGCCAGAACCCAGAAGGCGUCUUCGGAAACGCCGUAGGUGCCUGAGCAGCAGCAUCGAGCAGAUGAAACAGCUCGGUAAGUGCUUGUUUAAUCUUUAUCCUUUAUUCUCUCGAAGAAGAGCCCCAGCUGCCACCGAGGCCAGGGAGCGGGCAGGAAGAGCCUCUCUGGAGAGGACAUUUCCCAGUCGUCGUAGGUGGCUUUCUGCCUGGCUUUAGCUCCCUGAGCUUGGAGACGUCUCCUCCUUCUCCUCCUCCUUCUCUUCUCCCAGGGAAGCGGUACAUGGGCAGCGGAGAGAAGGUGGGUGAACGAGACCCUUUAGGAGAUGGAGAAGGGAAGAAUUUUGUAGUCAGGGAAGAUGACAGCAGCAGUCUCGGUGCAGUUUCUGCCUCGUCUUGGAGGCCCUCCAGGGACACGAGGUGCUCCCACCCGCACCAGCCGCUGCGGGGCUGGAUGAGCUGCUCCGGCCCCCGAAGGCUGCGGCCGCAAGAGCUCACCGGAUCCAGACCCUUCCCGUGUGAUGUCCCUGCGGGGCAGACGGUGUUGCCACGUGUAGGGACGUGCUUUUGGUGAGCUUUCUCACCGCUUAACAUGUGCAGACCUUGCUUCUGUUCCCCAGUAACCGAGCGGGGACGGGGCAUCAUCCCGCCUAAUAACUGCUUAGUGCUGAGGUAGCUCUCUGCGUCUUCCAGCCACCGUGCAAAUAUUAGCUGAUUAAGUGGAAAUAACCUUAUCUAGAGGACACUUACGAUAGCAUUGUUCAGACCACAGCAGGUAAUAGGGAGGAUUAAUUCCCAACAGCCAUUCCCCCCCCCCAAAAAAAUUGGUGUUUGAGCUGAUCAAGGCUUUUUAACAAACCUUUUAUUGUCGCCUUUGGUUUGGAGGAACUUUUGUCGAGUGAGGGUUCUCAGGUCUCGAAUUCCUGGGCCGGGCGGGAGACCCUGCAGGAGAGCCGGCCACAGGGGCCUUGGAGCAAGUUGAUUUUAUAUCCUUCAGUGGGCUGAUCUCUACGGCAAGACUUUUCAUUAAACCACUGGAAACAGGAGGAGGAGCUGCUGCACUGAUCCGGCACCAAGAAAAGACGAUCCCUCGCCCGCAGUGUUUAUACUCCAGUGAAUGUUUUCAGAGCUCAUGCGGUGUCCAGCAAGCCGGGGGACUGUGCUUUCCAAUAGCAACAGAUGACAGAGAUGAAAAUAUAAUAGCAGCUGAAUUCCUCCUUUACCACAAAAAGAGCAGAGCUCCAGCAAAGAGCCGUCUCCUGCUCCGAGCGUAUUGUCUCACAGGCAAAGCACGUAUCACUUAGCUAACGUGAACUGCCAGGAAGCAAUACUCAUUGUCACGGCCUUGAAAUGAUGAAGGAAGAGAUUAUGGAGAGACGUAUUUCUGGCCUAGGAGCAGCCUGCACUUAACAGCUAUCAGCGCACAAGUGCCAAAAGGAAAACGUUCACCUCCCUGGUGCCAGCGGGACUCUGCGGACCCAUUCUUUGGCCUCUGCAACGUUAUAAAGUGGAAAUAAUGGCAUUUUGGAGGAUGGCCAUUUUGCUGCUAGGAACGCUGCUGCGGCGAGACCGCCAAGUUUCCACCUCUGGCGGAGGCAGGGCUUUGCCCAGACCGUGGAUGUUGAACCAGUGCCGCGAAGCAGCGGCGUGACCGUCCCUGCCAGCGCUGCCGCGUCGGGAGGCCGUUUUGCACCACGCUGCGGUGCCGGUGGCAUCUUCCCGGGCAGGCUGCUGUCACCAUGCAGCAGCGGCGAGCCUUGCUGCACCGCUCCCGCUGCGGGCUUCAUCGUCGGCUGGGGUUUCAGCACGAACUCGAGUGCCUUCCUCCGCGAGGAUGGUCCCCUUUUGCACUGAGCUGCAACGUGCACCAGGCGCAUCUUGCGUUCAGGCCAGCAGAAAGGGCUGGACCUGCUUUUCUGCCCUUCCCUGCCGACGCCGCGGGGCAGCGGUCCGAGCUGCGGAUGGGGCAGAGCGCGGGGCUGCUCCGUGCUCACGGGGGGCCGCAGGCUGUGCCGAUUUCCCGGUUUAACCCCGCAGGGUGAGCGGGGCUGGAGGGGCCUGGGAAGCGGAGCGGAGCUGCUGCACCGACCCCCGGCCGGGUCGGGGCUCCGGGAGGACCAGGGCACCUGGAAGCCCCUCCGCCUGCGCCCCGACCUGGAGCUAAGGGCAGCUUGGCCACAUCGGCAUGUCCACCCAUGAGCUGCAGUUAAACUCAUGCAAUUCCGGAGUUUUAUUAAUUUCCAGUUGGGUUUUUGCUGGUGCAGCUGCCGCCUCUUGCUCGCAGAGGUCCAGCCCUGACGCUCGUCUGCGCUGCGAUAACGCUGGCGUCGGAUCCCGACGGAGGAGUCUCUGCUCUGCCGGGCAGAGGGAACCCGUCAGGAGGCACGUCAUAUCCUAAGGAAUCCCAUUUCCAGUUUCCUUCCCGAUUACGCCGCUUAUCCGCAGACACGAGCCCCCCCCCGGACUCGCUUUGAUUUAUCUCUCCACUAAAUCUCCUGAACUCGCGUAUUUUCUUUUCACUUCACCUCUGUUGGCAGUCGUAUUUCAGAGCCGGGCAGCCCGGAGGGAGCGCGGUGUGCGGCCGGUCUGUGCGGGGCGGUCGGCAAAUCUUCCAGGACACGUCCAGGGACGGGCUACGGGGCCCGUGGGCUCUGGCCUGGGCUGUCGCUUGCAGCUGGUUCUUCCUUCAUGCAAAGUCCUACAAAAAUACGGGCUCAUCAAGAGGACGGGGGGGACGUGACCUGCUUCAGGCAAAUGCUGGAGAGGCGUGAGCUUGCUUGCGUCCCCUUCCUCCGGCGAGGGCCGUGCCACCUCCGUCCUCCGGCCGCAGUCCCCUGCGUCGUGUCCGAGCGGCCGAGCACACGAGGAAGGGAUUAUCCCUCUGGGCAGCAGCCCGCUGUGCGCUGGAGACCGGUAUUUUCCCUCCUUCCCUUGCCCUCGUUCCUUCUGCCCCUCCUCGAGGUGAGGCUUUCCACGCCUCCGGCCCUUCCCUGGCCGCUCCUGGCCCCCUCUCCAGCCGUCCCCCCUUUCCUGACGCGGGUGGAAAGACGGCUUCCCGCGGGCCGGGUGCCUGUUUACAUGUCUCAGCGCGAUGUUUGCUUGCUUUUGCAUCAACAGGAUGGCGAUGACUCAGGUUCAGCUGGUCUCCAUUACCGCCCCAGACUCUUGCCUGAGAAGCGCUGCAGCAGCUCCCUCGCAGCGUCUUCGUCCGGGAUCGCACACGGGAUCAGCCCCGGGCAGUCCCCGUUCUGCAGAGAGCAGUUCGGAGACCUCCCUUUCCCUCUCCAGCAGAGAUGUCCCUCUGCCCUGCUUGGGGGAGAGGACCUGCCCGCAGCUGCGUGCCGUCGCUGCUCUGCACCGCGGGCGAUCGGGCGUGUCUGCCCGAGCUGGGCUGCGUCUGCACCUUGCGGGUGUCUGCACGGCGGGUGCUUAAAAAUCAGGGUCAGACCAAGGCUGGCUGCAAAUCUGGCCCAAAAUAUCCAGCGCUGAGAUUUUCGUCUCCUUGCAGCAAGCCCUGCUUUUGCACGCUGCCCAAAAAUGAGCACUGAGCGAUGCACCAGCGGCGGGUUCUGGUAGCCCGCAAGGUGCUGGUUAAACACCAGCUUCUGCAAGGAAAUGCGCCCAGUUUGCACGCUACAAGAUUAGCCCAGUAUAGGCUGCAAAUGCAGGAGGGGGGUAUAAACAACAAGCGGGCAAACAGGAUCUUGACUGGUUUUGUGAAGAGAAGUGAGCAAUCAAUGUCGAAAGGAUUUGGCCCUAUUUUCUGAGCUGUGAGCUGCAGUUAGAAAUAAGCUUUGGGGAAUUGUGGUCUCCUUGCUGAGAUCUGUGCCAUAGCGAACACUGGUGUUUUCCAAACCUCAAAUGUUUUUGUUGGGCUAAUAAAAGUUACAAGAAGAGAAGGGAAAGAUGUAAUGAAAUCAGGCCAUGCGAAAGCCAAAAUCUGAACAGAAACAUCAGAUCUGGACCUGCUUCAGCUCUGAAGAAGCCAGACUGAAAUCCAGCUCGUGGCUCAAAACGUGGGCAAGGUCCAGCGCGGCCAGCCUUGCUCCACGUGGUAGGGUUGCCGCGUGCCCCGAAGCCAGCAGACCCUGGUAACUCCCUCCCCGCUGGAGCACCGUCACCCUCUGACUCCCGGGAGCACUCUGAGGCUGCCGAUUUCCCGCAGGAAUUGGGAUUUUUCAGGUAUGGGGGUAGAUGUGAUCUGUUUUCCAGUUUGAGAGGAGGUGCACCAGCGUAUGCUGGGGAAGGUGCAAGGGGAGGGUGGGCUGUGGGGGCGAAGCAAAGGCAGAGGAGGUGCAAAAAUUGCAGCCUGGGAAAAAGCUGGCUUUUUCACAUAUUUGGGGAAGGUUUCUAAUUAGCGCAGAGGGUCUCCACACAAGGGAACACCGAACGCAAGGUAAAACUCAACGGUGCUUGGGUUUGAGAUGCUGGGGGAAUAUUAAUGAGAUCUGCUAAAGUUCACAUUAAGCCAAAUCUGUGCAGAAAUUCAGGAUUUAGUGCUGAAGAAGGUCGUGUGGAUGUCGCCCCAUUCUGUGCCGUGGAGCCCAACAGAGGAUUUGCUGGAGAACUUGAGAACUUGCGCAGAGGCUUUUUGUCUGUUUUUGUUUGCCACCUCUAUCUUCUCCCUGCCAGAUGUCGGAUGAUCUGAUGCAUUGAAAAGAGGCAGCCGAUGUCACAGGGGGAACGGGCUCUUCUGCUGGCAGGGGAGGUCUCCGCUGGGCGCCCCGCGUUUGCUGACCGCCCGCGUGCUGCUCCUCGCUGCAGCCCGUGGUCCCCCUCGCUCUGCAGUUGAGCUGCAAUCUCUAGACGCGACCGGACAAGCCAAGUUACAUGGGCAUUUGGGUAACGAUGAUGGUAUUUGACAUCAAACUUAAGAGGAAGCUGGUCCCAGCCCUGCAGUUCUUGCUCACUCAGCGCUCGUGUUGGGGUGUUUUGCGCAUCUUGGCAUGUUCGUGCCCAAAGGUUUAUGGGCGUCUGAGUGUUUGGGGUGGAGCUGGUGCAGUUUCCCCGCUCCUUUUAGGAGCUUCCCUCCAAGGAUGCAUUUCUGUAAAUGAGAGGUUUGGCGUGUGCAGAACUGGAGUUUUGGGCGCUCUUCCGUGUUUCUGUGCAAUGCCACCCUCCCCCUGCCCAAUCCAUCUUCAAAUCCAACUGCUUAGAAGUAUCCCUUGUAAUCAGCAGUGCAAUCCCUCUGGCUCAACGAGGGAUGUCUUUAUUGUGCUCUAACGCACGCCCUGUUAUGUCUUACCCUUAAUGGGUACUUGGCUUAUCCUUGGUAGGAGCCUGCCUGGGACUCGCUGGAGAUAAACUCGUCCCCCAUUAGCAUCAACUGGAAGUUUUUAUGGGGUUGAUGAAAAAUAUACCUGGGACAAAUGAUUAUUUUAUGUCUUAGAGAAGUAAGACCUAAGAGGCCUCCAGACACGCAGGGAGAGAAUCGUCAGCCAUUAACGUGAAGGCGUAAUUUGUCUCUCAUCCUCUUUAACACUGGGCUGAGGGAUACUUUCUAGGUAAAUACAACGUUCAGCUGUCAUCUUGGCACGUUGGAUAAGGGCAAAGCCACUUCCUUGGCAGAUUAUAAUGAUAUACAUUAGCCACCCAAUUUAGUGAAAAAUAUUGUUUUCUUCUAAUUAAGCAAAUUGUUGCAAGCUAGGUCGCUGACUCCUGGGGAAGUUACAGUUUCUGCCUUCUAGGCUUGCUGACAAGAGAAUAGAUUUAUCUCCAAUUCAGAUCACUAGAGAUGGUUCUCGGUGUUUUAUUACCACAUGCAACUUUCUGGAUGUUACUAAGAGAUUAAUGAAGAAGAGAGGGCGGGGGUGAGAGGAGUUCAGCAACGGUCUGUGCAUGCCAAAUAUUAAUUAUAUUUCAUUUCAUAUGCAGAUGAUGCAAUCAGCUGUGCAACACUGGAGAUAAUACUUUUGUCUCGGUUUGUUUUUCGACCUUGAGAGGCCGUGUUUUCCCCCUUCCUCCUGCAAAUCAGAAUUCAUAUCUUAAUUACAUUCCGUGAUUUGCGUUUCCUUUCGUCUGUGCGGACGAGCUGAUGUUAAUGCACAGGACGAACAAGAUAACUACCUGCGGGGUCAGGGCAGCUCCUGCCCUGGAAGGAGCCUCUCUGCAGCGCGGUCCGGUCGACCUCGGGAGAACCGGCCAUCGCCAGCCUUUCCUCGCGCUCCAGGGCCUGCGUUAGCCGUGCCGUGUCCCGGGGGCACGUCACCACCGUCCUCGGCCAGCGCUUGGCGGACCUUCUCCGCAGCACCUGGUGCUGGCCCAUGCCGUGGUGGGGGAACCGGGGAGCUGCCCGGCUGCCAGGCGCAGCGGAGCGCUUUGGGACGGCUGCAAUCGCUGCAGCGGCUGCGGAGCGGUGCAGUGCCCGGCAGAGCGGCUGUCACGUGUGGCUGGGUGAGGACCGUCGGUGACCGUGCUGCUGCUGCUCUCCCGGGCUUGGAGGGAUGCCGGGGAAGCCCCCGUACUUGCGACGGGCUGGGAGGCCACACGAAUGCUGCUAACUCCGCAGCGUCGCAGCCGCCGGGGCUGACUUUGAGGUGUUGCACACCCAUGGGCGAUGGUGCGUGAUCCAUGCCCAUGGAUCCACGGAGGCCCCCGGCACGGUGCAGCAGUUGCACGUGUGACCUGCCGCUUUGCAAGGGUGGCCGGGCUUUGCCCGGGGAUCACCACGCAGCCGGCGCCCCGUGGCAGCGACGUGCGAGGCGCAAGCGUGGCAGCUCGCGUUACUGCUGCAGCGCUCGUGCAGCGGUGCCGGGCUGGCAACGGUCCCGGAGGAACGAUGUCUCGCGUCCUCAGCCGUGCAACUCGGCUCAGCUUGCAGGGCUGCAGCAGCGCGGCCAGAGCGAUGCCGAAGGCAGGAAAAAAGCAAGAGCCGCUGCGGCGUCUGUCAGGUGCAGGCACAGUGCUUUUAAGCAUAAGUCACUCCUGCAUUUAGGGCUGCAGGUAAGCAGCGUAGCGACCCGUGACCAAUCGCCAUUUCGGCAUGAUAUUGCAAUUAUAUUUGGCAGAGCUGUUAAAGAGUCAGCGUGGCGCAGCAGCAGGAUUUGUUGGGAAAGCGUCCUGGGCCAGCCGGGCUGCUGCGUGGCAUCGGCCACCGUCAACGCGGAGAUAGACCUUGGGUGAAUGCAGAGUAAAACUUUCCCUUCGUGUGUGCGGGGGGGUAUAUGUGUGCACGUAUAUGUAUAUAUACAUAAGAAUAAAUAUAUAUAAAGAUAUAUUUAAAA
Molecule: long non-coding RNA, 13565 nt
Organism: Dromaius novaehollandiae (emu)
Lineage: Eukaryota; Metazoa; Chordata; Aves; Casuariiformes; Dromaiidae
Exons: 4
Source: RefSeq, a predicted model, not a curated record